Molecule: ribosomal RNA, 495 nt
Filed under: uncultured bacterium
Lineage: Bacteria
Description: partial 16S ribosomal RNA
Rfam family: Bacterial small subunit ribosomal RNA
Source: RNAcentral
GACGAACGCUGGCGGCGUGCCUAAUACAUGCAAGUAGAACGCUGAAGGAGGAGCUUGCUUCUCUGGAUGAGUUGCGAACGGGUGAGUAACGCGUAGGUAACCUGCCUGGUAGCGGGGGAUAACUAUUGGAAACGAUAGCUAAUACCGCAUAAGAGUAGAUGUUGCAUGACAUUUGCUUAAAAGGUGCAAUUGCAUCACUACCAGAUGGACCUGCGUUGUAUUAGCUAGUUGGUGGGGUAACGGCUCACCAAGGCGACGAUACAUAGCCGACCUGAGAGGGGGGUCGGCCACACUGGGACUGAGACACGGCACAGACUCCUACAGGAGGCAGCAGGAGGGAAUCUUCGGCAAGGGGCGGAAGUCUGAGCGAGAAACGCCGCGUGAGUGAAGAAGGUUUUCGGAUCGUAAAGCUCUGUUGUAAGAGAAGAACGAGUGUGAGAGUGGAAAGUUCACACUGUGACGGUAUCUUACCAGAAAGGAACGGCUAACUACGUG